Molecule: unclassified non-coding RNA, 227 nt
Filed under: Hevea brasiliensis (rubber tree)
Lineage: Eukaryota; Viridiplantae; Streptophyta; Magnoliopsida; Malpighiales; Euphorbiaceae
Source: RNAcentral
AUUAGCAUCACCUAAAGCAAGUAACAUAGGUGAACUCCUUUGUAGUGGUGGAUUUGGGCUGUAAAUUGUUGGGCCUUUGUAUAAUGUUAUUACUGAUGCUCCAGCUACACAUAAUAAUGUUCCACACACUUUUGAUAUACCAUCUUUUCUAUUCAAUCUCACUGUUUCAAUCCUGAGCAGUACUGCCAUGAGAAAUGUUAUGGCAGGUACAGAAUUUUGUAUGGCAG